UGUUGAUGAUGACAAAAUCCAUAAGGCUUGUUUCUCAAAACAUUCGCAGUGGCCGCCUAAAGCUUUCGCUUUCGCCAGGCUUGAGAGCUAAUGCUGCUUCAAUCCUUCCUUGGAUGUCUGAAACU
Non-coding RNA from Ricinus communis (castor bean), 125 nucleotides. The record is from Rfam. NCBI's taxonomy places the organism in Eukaryota, Viridiplantae, Streptophyta, Magnoliopsida, Malpighiales, Euphorbiaceae.